UCCCAGGUAGCUUAGUGGUAAAGAACCUGCCUGCCAAUGUAGGAGACUCGGGUUCAAUACCUGGGUUGGGAA
Molecule: transfer RNA, 72 nt
Filed under: Bos taurus (domestic cattle)
Lineage: Eukaryota; Metazoa; Chordata; Mammalia; Artiodactyla; Bovidae
Also listed under: 3 other names
Rfam family: tRNA
About the family: Transfer RNA (tRNA) molecules are approximately 80 nucleotides in length. Their secondary structure includes four short double-helical elements and three loops (D, anti-codon, and T loops). Further hydrogen bonds mediate the characteristic L-shaped molecular structure. tRNAs have two regions of fundamental functional importance: the anti-codon, which is responsible for specific mRNA codon recognition, and the 3' end, to which the tRNAs corresponding amino acid is attached (by aminoacyl-tRNA synthetases). tRNAs cope with the degeneracy of the genetic code in two manners: having more than one tRNA (with a specific anti-codon) for a particular amino acid; and 'wobble' base-pairing, i.e. permitting non-standard base-pairing at the 3rd anti-codon position.
Source: Rfam by way of RNAcentral